AUUGAACGCUGGCGGCAGGCCUAACACAUGCAAGUCGAGCGAGCGGCGGACGGGUGAGUAAUGUAUGGGGACUGCCCGCUAGAGGUGGAUACCUACUGGAAACGGUGGCUAAUACCGCAUACAGUCGGAUAACCCAUAUGGGAUUAGCUAGUAGGUAAGGUAAUGGCUGACCUAGGCGACGAUCCCUAGCUGGUCUGUGAGGAUGAUCAGCCACACUGGGACUGAGACACGGCCCAGACUCCUAAGGAGGCAGCAGUGGGGAAUAUUGCACAAUGGGCGCAAGCCUGAUGCAGCCAUGCCGCGUGUAUGAAGAAGGCCCUAGGGUUGUAAAGUACUUUCAGUCGGGAGGCGUUACCGACAGAAGAAGCACCGGCUAACUCCGUGCCAGCAGCCGCGGUAAUAC
This 403-nucleotide ribosomal RNA is filed under the name uncultured bacterium. Its description in RNAcentral is "partial 16S ribosomal RNA". It matches the Rfam family "Bacterial small subunit ribosomal RNA", at positions 30 to 526 of the family's 1533-position model. The record is from RNAcentral.